UACGAGUACAUUGAACAUUUGCAAACUCAAGAAUUUGUAAGACAUUUCGAACGGCUUUCUGGUCCUCUGUUGGCUGGUUAGGGGUUUCCUCUCUUCCUCUCCGCCACUACGCCUCUCUGCAACCACUAAUGCUUUAAGACAGAUUAUGGAGCUGACUUGUUUCAAGUAGCUCAUUGUUGUUGCGGUCGCUUGUCGUCAAUUGUUGGUUUUUGUUGUCUAACCAUAAAAUAUGAAAUGUUCAGUUUUGUUUGCUUAUGUUGUUGGUCUUAAUUUGUUGUUGUUUAGGUGCUAGUCGACAGAUAUAGACAAAAAAUUGGAAUUGGAAUCGAAAUUCGUCCUGUAAUGCGAGAAAAUCACGGGAAAUAGAAAGGAUAAGGCAAUAAGGAAACAACUUGCCUCGUUCCCGCUGUAAUACUUAUCCGAUUUCGAUUUUAUUAUCCAUGCGUGGAUAUCGGAAAUGCUCCUCAACUACAAAGUACAAAGUACCGUUACCACUUUGUUGUCAACCGCUGUAGCUUUAGUGGGGCAGUGGAAAAUUUUCUGACAUGGCACAGACUGUAAAUGAAAUGCAUUUCUCACGUGAUGUGCAUUUGGAAUUUUUCGAUUUAAAAUAUUGCCGGUCACUGAUUUAUGGGGGCAUUUAAAAUACAAAUUUCAAGUUGAAAAUGGCCUAGUGCAAGCCCCAGCAAUACACAUGUUGUACACGCAACGAUCUCCUAUUGCAUGAGAAAAAUGUUCUUCUUGACGCCCGACAAAGACAUGUUGCGUAUACGUAUGCUAUGGGAAAGCCUUGGAUGAUUGAUAAGCCGAAAGGCUCCGUUUGUGGAUCGACGAGAAGAGAAGGCAAGACCCUUUCAAACAGGUCAAGAGCUUUGGCUCUAGCCGUUGCAAUGUUGACUUAACGAUUCCUUAUCGAUUGGGCGCAGACAAUUUUGAAAAUAUUUACCACAGUUGCUGUCCGUAUUGACAAUCUCGGUUGAGCUUGAUAAAGUUUUAUCACAUUAAUGGGGCAUUACCGGUCGUGAAAGCUAGAUGGGUGGGUUCUCAAAGUAUUAUCGGAGCUUUGGGGAGGGAUUCUCAAUUAGAAUACACUUUCCACCACAUCUACAUAUAACACUCAGCUUCUGUGUAUCUCGGCCAUCAAUCUAAUUCAAGUGCAAGUCCAAGUGAGACAACUCGUUACGCAAAUACCUGGAAACGAUUUAUUUCCGUUUAUUCCGAAAUAUUCCCCAAAUAUAAAAUGUAAGACUCCACCUGCCCCCUCAUUACAAUGCCAAUCACACUUUUCCUGACCAACUGAGCAAAAUUAAAACCAAAAUUAAAUUUAAGACUUGUUCGGCAAGAAAUUCGCAACACAAAAAUCCAAAUCAUAUUAUCGCUCAUGAUAAUGA
Long non-coding RNA from Drosophila obscura, 1391 nucleotides. RefSeq lists it as uncharacterized. The record is from RefSeq and is a predicted model, not a curated record. The transcript is spliced from 3 exons. Lineage: Eukaryota; Metazoa; Arthropoda; Insecta; Diptera; Drosophilidae.